Long non-coding RNA from Lucilia cuprina (Australian sheep blowfly), 338 nucleotides. RefSeq lists it as uncharacterized. Lineage: Eukaryota; Metazoa; Arthropoda; Insecta; Diptera; Calliphoridae. The record is from RefSeq and is a predicted model, not a curated record. The transcript is spliced from 3 exons.
AAAAUUUUACACCACUGUCUCCUAUUAUUUGAGGUGAAUAAAAUAAAACGUCAAAAAUAAAAGAAGUAAUUUUAUAAAUAGUGCGCGAAAAUACGUUCUAGUGAGAAAAAUUUAGAAAUAUUUGAAAGAAAUAGUUGUGAAAGUGUGAUUAAUGUUAUACAAAUAUUAAAAAUGUUUAUUUAAAAAUAAAAAAGUAAAUGAAUUGCAUAUUCAAUAUGUUGCUUGAAUUUACAGAUAAAAAUUUCAAUAAAUAUUAUGGAGGAUUCAUUAAGUGGUUUAAGACUAAAUGAACAAAAUGUGGAACCACACGUGUCGUUUUUAUGUGAAUUAACAAGUAA